RNAcentral lists this transfer RNA (74 nucleotides) under Mycoplasma sp. OR1901. Its description in RNAcentral is "tRNA-Trp". It matches the Rfam family "tRNA". Rfam says of the family: Transfer RNA (tRNA) molecules are approximately 80 nucleotides in length. The record is from RNAcentral. Lineage: Bacteria; Bacillati; Mycoplasmatota; Mollicutes; Mycoplasmatales; Mycoplasmataceae.
GGGGGUUUAGUAUAAUGGCAGUGCUAUGGUCUCCAAAACCACAAGUAAGGGUUCGAUUCCUUUAACCCCUGCCA